Long non-coding RNA from Vicia villosa (hairy vetch), 4502 nucleotides. RefSeq lists it as uncharacterized. The transcript is spliced from 3 exons. The record is from RefSeq and is a predicted model, not a curated record. Lineage: Eukaryota; Viridiplantae; Streptophyta; Magnoliopsida; Fabales; Fabaceae.
UUAUUAAUUUAAUUUGGAUUUAAAUUAAAUAAUUGGAAUUUUAGUAUUUUUAUUUGGAAUUAUUUGGAAAAUGAUGAAAUAUUGGCAUUGGGCCUAGAGUGGUGGUUAGCAGUAAGGGGGUGUUAACUAAGCAAGCCCAUUAUAAUAUUUUAUUUUAUUUUUCAUAAAAUAAAGGAAUUGGGAAAAGAGAAGCAGUAGAAGCAGAUUUUGGAAAAAAGAGAACACGUGAAAGUGAGAAGAGCCAAAGGGGGAGAAGAACUUCGAAGAUUCGACUCUGAGAUUAAGGAUGUAGCGGCGUCUUGAUUGGGUGAAGAUAGCUUGUAAGCUAGCCCGUAGUUCGUGUCGAGUCAUGCUCUGAUUGUAACACUGGGAAACGAUAGUUUAGAGACGAAUUAUUAUGUCGGUCUUUGUUGUUUUAUAAUUGUAUUAGAGAACUUGCAUGAAUGAUGAUGAAUAUGCAAUGUUAUGAAUUAUAAUCCGCUGUGUUGAACAUGAAUUGUAAUUAUGUUAAGUGGUUCCUCGUGUAGCAUGACAAAUGACUAUGGUAUUUUAUGUUAAAGAAGUUGUGACAUCCUUGUAUUUCAUGUUUACUCUGAAUAUUAUUCUAUUUUCCGCGGGGGUUUAGAAGGGUGUUACAAUAGUGGUAUCAGAGCAUAGUCGGUCCUUGUGACCAGAGUCUUAUUGUUAAUUCCUGUCGGUACGCGACAUGUGUGAGAAACACUGUCGGUACUCAGUGUGUUCUAACGGUUUGCUUGCAGAAGUGGGAUUGAGACUAGUGGGGGAGAAGUCAUGCUUCUCGGAUAUGUCUCAGAUGCAAGAUGUUAGAGUGAUGCGUAUGGCAGCAGUACAAGAGUGUAGAGUUAUUGUUUUCCGAAGUGAAGGUGACUUGGGCUGAAGACUGUGGUUGUUAUUCAGUCGGAGUGUCUCGGAGUAGAUGAUGGUUAUUUCUGAGAAAUGGAAUUUCGAAGUUGGGGUGCUUCAAGUGCUACUGACGUACUGUGAUGUUGUUGUGUGAGUAGCCCUAUGUAAAAGGUCGCUGUUGAAGCAGUGAUUAAAGGAAGUAUGGUUGUAGACCUUGUCGUAGGAUUACUAGUAAGUAAUUGAGAUGAUAGUAGAGGUUAUCGAUGUUGUUGAGAAAGUUUCGAAGUGUGAGUAAUGCAAAGAGAUGAGUAUAAUCUCAAGGAUAAGAAGGUUGAUGAUGGCGUACAUGAAUUUGGUUUCAGGAUGUUGUAGAAAUCGAGCUUCAACGAUGAAAUGUGUUGUUUAAGUUGUAAGAAGUUUGGAAGCGAAGAGAUGUGAUAAGAUAAUGUUAAUAAUGAGAUUAAUUUGAAAAGGAUGAGUUUUGGAGCAGAAUUUCCAUAAGCAAAUCGCAGGAAGAUUGUUAAAUCGUUAUGAAACUUCGAAAAUUCAUAACUGGAGUUCUGGACAUCCGAUUUGAGUUCCGUUUGAAGCGUCGGAAAGCUAAAGAGAUGGAGUUUGUUAUAAAAAUGGUUUCAGCAGCUGUAACAUAUUUAAUUGUGACAGGGUGUUGUUGGAAAGAGGUGGAGUUACGGUUACACUUGUCCUUAGAACUAGAUUGUUCGUUGGUGCGACAUGGGAUGUCAGUGUCAGAGUUAAACAGAAUAAAGGAAUAAUGAGGAGGCUUGUUGAGAAGCAAUCUUAGAGAUUAAAUGUGCCAAUUGAGAAGUUUUGGAGAUGUCGUAUAGGGUUUUGUUGCAUGGUGUCGGUAUUGUAUCUUGGAUAACGAUUGGAAACAUUCAUGUCUUGAGCUCUGAGUAUCGGAUUAAGGUACCGUUUGAAACCACGAAGAGGAGAGAUUAUGUUCUACAUUGUGGGAGAGUUAUAAAUACAGUAGAAUGGUCCUAUGAUGAGAUAUUAUGAUGUCGGUUAAAGAAGCACGAAAAAAGUGUUGAAUAGGAAUGCUUAUUACCGCGAUUGUUCGGAACGAAGUCGAGUAGAAUAUGUCCUUGAUAAAUAAGAUGAUAAGGAUGAUUUAAAUAUUGAUGGAUUUGAGUGAUGAAGGAAUCAAUAGAAAAAGUGAAAUAGAAUUUGGAACCAUUUGUGGUAUAUUGUGAUGCGUCGUUGAUGGGUUUGGAUGGUGUAUUGAUGUAAAAUCAGUAAGUAGUAACUUAUGCGUCGGGACGAUUGAAAGCGCAGGAAGGGAAUUAUCCGACCCAUGACUUAGAGUUGACGACUGUGGUUUUGUUUGUGGCAACAUUAUUUGUAUGGUUUGUGAUUGGAAGUGUUUAGUGAUCAUAAGAGUCCGGAGUACCCAUUUGAUCAGCAAGGGCUUAAUGUGAAGCAAUAGACAUGGUUAGAUUUUUCUUGGAUUAUCAUCUUGGUGAGGAAGAUGUUGUGUCAAUGCACUGAGUAGGGAACCUCUAAAAAUGUCGAUGCUGAUGGAGAAAGAGUUGGAUUUAAUUGAACAAUUUAGAGAACUAAGUUUGGUAUGUGAAAGUGCUCCUAAUAAUGUUAGAUUGGGUAUACUGAAACUGACUAAUGGUAUUCCUGACGAGGAUAGAGAAAGUCAGAAAGCUGAUGUUGAGUUGAUCGAUAAGUCGACUUUGGAUUACCAAGGUAAAGAUGACGGACUCAGAAUUGACGAGGAUGGUAUAAUGAGGUUGGUGGUCGCUGUUGUGUUCCGCGUGUUACCGAGUUGAGAAAGAAUAUUCUAGAAGAAGGACACCAUAGAGAAUUAUUAGACUAUGACAAUGUUGAUGAGUUUGGGUGCAAACUCGGAAAAGACGCUAUUAUGUAGUAACAACGGUCUAUGCUUAAAUAUGAUUGUCGGCUAUCUAUUGACAAAUUGAGGACUUGAUCACCCUUAAUCUCUUGUUGAUAAUAGGCGGAAUUAUAAAGAUAGUAUAAGAUUGCUUGUUACCUUAAUGGUAUAAGAUGUGACGAAUGCUGAGAUGUGAGAAUGACCACUCACCAUAUUGUGGGAACUUAUGAGGAAGUGAAUAUGAAGGAGUGCAAAGUAUUGGACGGUGACUUAAGACGAGUAGUCGUAGUCGUACAACGAAAGUAUGAUGUAGAGUGGUGUUAUGAGUGCUACUCGUGAGCAGUGAGGAAUUAAUAUGUCGGAAUCCUACAUGGAGAAUAUGUGUUGAUCUAUAGGUUGAAUUUGGAAUCUCAUAGACAUAAGGAUGUCGUGCCCAAGGAUUAGAACCCUUUUGAAUAAUUGCCGAGAUGAUGGAUAUCCUAUUAUGGUUGAAUGUAGUUAACGAGUAUGUAUUUGGAGAAGUUAAGACGAAGAGUUGAUGCUACAUGAUGCUAUAAUAAUCUUGUGAUGUUGUAAGGUGUUAUGUAGAUUUCUAAAUGUAAUGAGGGAUUAUACUCUAUGAAGGAUGAAGCUGAUUUGAUUCUUAGUGGAGAGUGGGACUCAGUUGAGCUAUCUUGUAAGCAAUGGUAUAUUGAGGAUGAUGAGCUAUGUAAUUAUAACUACUGAUGUGUGCUUGUUCCGAUAGUGGGAAUGUUUUUAAUAGAUGAAGUAACUCGGGAACUUGCUCUGAGUAAGUGUAAGUAUUACUUUAUCGCUCAAUUGGAAGAGUGUGCCUAAGGUUGGUACGUGGGUAAAUGGAAUCUAUUACUACAGUGUUGAUCAGUUGUGAUCAUACCAUGGAUUAUGUAAUUGUAUUAUUCAGUUGUUGAGCGUAUUGUAUGGAUCGUACCUCGAAGUUUCAUUGUUGUUAACCGUUGGAGUUAUAGCAAGUGGUACACCUGGGGAUGGUCAAAUGCAACGUAAGAACUGAAUUGAAUGCAUGAGAUAUGCUUGUGUUGGUUAUGUCAGAUGAAUUUUGAGACUCGACCAAGAAGGUGUUAACGGAGAACGGGAGAGUCAAAUGAAGCACUCUUAUUUGGGACUUUUACUUGAAGUAUGUUUUCGAGGACGAAAACUCUUUUAGUGGGGGAGAGUUGUAACACCCCAUAAUUUCAGUUUAUUAAUUUAAUUUGGAUUUAAAUUAAAUAAUUGGAAUUUUAGUAUUUUUAUUUGGAAUUAUUUGGAAAAUGAUGAAAUAUUGGCAUUGGGCCUAGAGUGGUGGUUAGCAGUAAGGGGGUGUUAACUAAGCAAGCCCAUUAUAAUAUUUUAUUUUAUUUUUCAUAAAAUAAAGGAAUUGGGAAAAGAGAAGCAGUAGAAGCAGAUUUUGGAAAAAAGAGAACACGUGAAAGUGAGAAGAGCCAAAGGGGGAGAAGAACUUCGAAGAUUCGACUCUGAGAUUAAGGAUGUAGCGGCGUCUUGAUUGGGUGAAGAUAGCUUGUAAGCUAGCCCGUAGUUCGUGUCGAGUCAUGCUCUGAUUGUAACACUGGGAAACGAUAGUUUAGAGACGAAUUAUUAUGUCGGUCUUUGUUGUUUUAUAAUUGUAUUAGAGAACUUGCAUGAAUGAUGAUGAAUAUGCAAUGUUAUGAAUUAUAAUCCGCUGUGUUGAACAUGAAUUGUAAUUAUGUUAAGUGGUUCCUCGUGUAGCAUGACAAAUGACUAUGGUAUUUUAUGUUAAAGAAGU